RNAcentral lists this long non-coding RNA (1037 nucleotides) under Bos indicus x Bos taurus (hybrid cattle). RNAcentral describes it as "lncRNA (ENSBIXG00000016928.1)". The record is from RNAcentral. Lineage: Eukaryota; Metazoa; Chordata; Mammalia; Artiodactyla; Bovidae.
AUGAUUCCCAAGCUUCAAACCCGACCCAGAGUCAGCAACACGGACAGCGCCACACCCGCUUCUGGGGACCACAUGCUCUCUUGGCUGGAAAGAGCGAUCCCGCUGUGGAUCCAGCCAGAGUUAAAGUCAUCAUCUCGCCCCAUGAUUGAAGGAGAAAAUACCUUCUAUCUCCAUUCCAAAUGCUCCAAGAGCCUGGGCUAUUGGCCCCCAUCCAAGGAAAUGGCACAGGUAGGAAGGAAGCGCUCCUCUGGGGCAGUGAUGGAGGGGCUGUUCCUACUGCUCAGGGCAGAAGUGGGGUCUUCAAGCUUAAGUGGGAGAGGGCUAAAGGCGGUCAGUGGGAUUCCACAACCCGCCCCACCCCGCAUUCGCCUCACCUCUCUGCUCCCUGCUGUCUGGCUGCUGCCCCUCUCUCCCCUCCCUGGCAAAACUCUCACCUGGGUCACCAAUAACCACAUGUUCUCUUCCUGACCAGGCCAUCUUGGUCACCACCACCAGCUCUCCCUACACCCCACAGUUAAGCUUAAUUGGGGGCGUGUGGGCAUGCAGGCGUGCAGGUUCCCACUGCCCUGCCCAAGGCCCUCUGCCCCCCGCUCAGUGAGUGUGUCUAUGUGUCCACCUCCUGGGGCAGCUCUGCUACCUUCUCAGCCUCCGUCUGCACAUUUAUCCUGCUCUUGGCGGUGGCACUUCCAUCCCUCACCCCCCAGUCACUGGAGUCAGGGCUCAGAGAGUCACUCUAGAGGCCUCUCUCUCCCCGGCCCCCCACGCCUCCCCUCAAAUUUCACUUCCUCAAAGUGUCUUCAGUGGCGUCCCUUCUCCAUCCCCCAGGUUGCUAUCUCCCCGAAGGCGUGGUUCUCUUCUUCCCAAUCACAGAAGCUUCCUCUUGGCCUCCAGCCUCUCCCUUCCAGCUGUUCCCUACACUGGCUUCAGCGAGAUCAUGUUAUACCUAUAUGACUCUGUCCUGCUUCUACUCAAGAACCUUCCGUGGCUCCCCGUUGCCCUUAAAUAAAGCUCAGGUUUGUUUGUCUUCCCCUACUGUU